This 357-nucleotide unclassified non-coding RNA is filed under the name Hevea brasiliensis (rubber tree). The record is from RNAcentral. Lineage: Eukaryota; Viridiplantae; Streptophyta; Magnoliopsida; Malpighiales; Euphorbiaceae.
AACCUUUUUUCCUGCAAAAGGACUACAUGUAGAAUUAGUAAAUAAAAUGCACAAGAUACAGUAAGAGAGUUGAAUCCUAAGCUAAUAAAUGUCUGAACCUAAACCUGUUUAAUCCUAGAAGGCCAAUGAUACAUUAGCUUCCAAUUUUACACUUACUGAUUCAGACUCCUCUACAGCAUCUUUUUAAAUUUUUUUAUUUCUUUUUAGCAAAUAGGUGGAAAUAGUAUAUUGAACAAAGACAUUAUUAUGGUGUCAGCUGAACCUCUUUUCCCAUUCCAGAAUAAAUUCCUUCAUUUCUAAGGAAACCAUGUAUGAUGAAGUAAGACGACCCACAUGCAUGAUCUCUUGAACUAAGAG